Molecule: long non-coding RNA, 728 nt
Organism: Mauremys reevesii (Reeves's turtle)
Lineage: Eukaryota; Metazoa; Chordata; Testudines; Geoemydidae
Exons: 3
Source: RefSeq, a predicted model, not a curated record
AUGCAGAAAAUAAGUGACGCUGGCCAAAGCGAUGUUUGUGAGGAGUCUCCUCUCCUUGUAGAGCUCUGUGCAUGGACACUUUUGAGACAGAAAUUGCAGAAAGGGUUGCUGAGCAAAUAACCUGGAACAGCCUCUACUGACCACUAGAGAUUGGAAUCUGCACUCCCUAAGAAAUGAAGGGGCCUUAGGGACUGAGAGAGACAGCCCAUUCCCGCCUCCUGGAGACCCAGGUUAUGAUGACGUUGAAGCUGGCAUCCCUGAGACAUCAAUAUAAGAAUCGCUGAGUUCCAAUCAAAUAUCAUCUUGCCUGUGUCUCCAGUGUAAAUUAAGCAAGGUGUGACCUAAGACAAUGAAAUGGACAUUUACAAGCAAGGUAGACAAAGCCAUCAUGGGGGAAUUGAACAAUUAACCAUCUUGAUGGGGGAUGGAGGCUACACUCCCAGAAAGCCUCCCUACCUCUUGAAGCAGGGUCAAUGGACUUUGAGAAGAUAUAAGCAAAGGCAAAAAGUUGUUUUGUCAUCUAUCCCAGGCAACAGGUCACAGCACUUUCAAGCCUAUGACAGUUGGGUCCUGUGGUGUGGGAGACCAGGGAUGCUGAUGACUUGAUGUAAGUUAUGAAACUGAUCAGGCAAAGAUUGUAACUUUCUAGUAUUAAAUUUCAGUCACCUGAAAGUAUGUUUUGUUUUAUUUGUAACCUUUCCUAUCUGUUACUUGUAAUCACUCCAACU